AGUGAACGCUGGCGGUAGGCCUAACACAUGCAAGUCGAACGGCAGCACAGUAAGAGCUUGCUCUUACGGGUGGCGAGUGGCGGACGGGUGAGGAAUACAUCGGAAUCUACUUUUUCGUGGGGGAUAACGUAGGGAAACUUACGCUAAUACCGCAUACGACCUACGGGUGAAAGCAGGGGAUCUUCGGACCUUGCGCGAUUGAAUGAGCCGAUGUCGGAUUAGCUAGUUGGCGGGGUAAAGGCCCACCAAGGCGACGAUCCGUAGCUGGUCUGAGAGGAGGAUUAGACACACGGGAAGUGAGAAACGGUCCAGACUCCUAGGGGAGGCAGCAGUGGGGAAUAUUGGACAAUGGGGGAAAGCCUGAUCCAGCCAUACCGCGUGGGUGAAGAAGGCCUUCGGGUUGUAAAGCCCUUUUGUUGGGAAAGAAAAGCAGCAGGUUAAUACCCCGCUGUUCUGACGGUACCCAAAGAAUAAGCACCGGCUAACUUCGUG
RNAcentral lists this ribosomal RNA (492 nucleotides) under uncultured bacterium. RNAcentral's name for it is "partial 16S ribosomal RNA". It matches the Rfam family "Bacterial small subunit ribosomal RNA", at positions 29 to 507 of the family's 1533-position model. The record is from RNAcentral.